AUGCCGCCCAUGGCGGCGGGGGCGCCGGAUCUGGCGCUGGGCCACGCCCAGCGGGAGGACCGGCCAGUGGUGGGUGGCUACUCUGGACAGGAGUGGAGCACCUUAAGAAGACGGGGGAGGGAGAUCCUUCGCCGUGCUCGUGAUCCGGAGGCUUGCCUGCGUCAUAUGCGGGAUAAAGUGAGUAAGUUUUUCAAUUCAGAGCUGGGCAAGGGGGAUUUGAAGGUGGCCAUGGCUGGGAUGACCGGCGCGGUGACGGAGGCGGAGUUCACGGCCUCUGAUUUUGCCAUGAAAGAUGCGGAUCCGGCGAGUAAAGGGGCGGAAGAAACUGCAGUUUCCCUGUGCGUUAAAUCCAAUUUGACCAUGGUUAAGGAGGGGCUCCUGUACCAGAUUAAUUUGGGGAUUAAUUCUGUUGAUUUGAGGGCGAAAUUUGGGGGUGAAGACAAGUAUUUGAGGGGUGAGUUUCAGGUUAUGCAGCAGGCCAUUUUUCAGUUUCAACAAGUGUGUUCGUUUCCUGCUCUCUGUUCUUUGUGUCUGAACCAGGUGAACCAGGGGAGGAUGGCAUCCGACAGGGAUCAGCAGCCACCCAACAUGGAAGCUACACGGCUGAAGCCUGCUGGUGCCCAGGGUGAUGAGCUCGGCGCUCCGGCGGUGGACUUGUCCACCCUCCUGCCACAGAGGGGAACCGCUGCUGUUGGGGGUCCGACUGGACUGAUGCUGUCCAUCACCCCCAGCGCCACCAUUGGCUUCUCGGCAGUCCCACAAGAUCCUCCGGCUCCUCGUAGGCAAGGCAAGCAAGUGGCCAUGCUGUCAGACGAGGAGGACGUGCCAAUCGUCAUCGACAUGGAGGCGGCCAUACAGGCAGUGAAGGGCAAGCUCGUCGUGGCUCGGGUGCUGUCAUAG
This 900-nucleotide ribosomal RNA is filed under the name Triticum aestivum (bread wheat). RNAcentral's name for it is "partial small subunit ribosomal RNA". The record is from RNAcentral. Lineage: Eukaryota; Viridiplantae; Streptophyta; Magnoliopsida; Poales; Poaceae.